Cryptomeria japonica (Japanese cedar) is the source of this 1289-nucleotide long non-coding RNA. RefSeq lists it as uncharacterized. The transcript is spliced from 10 exons. NCBI's taxonomy places the organism in Eukaryota, Viridiplantae, Streptophyta, Pinopsida, Cupressales, Cupressaceae. The record is from RefSeq and is a predicted model, not a curated record.
UGAAAACGCGCGUUGCAACUUGCAUGCGAUGGCAUACAUUGGAGGUAGAAGAGAGUAAAUGUGCUUCAAUAGCAUUAACAUUCGCAUUUGGUACUUCUAAUGCUCAAGAUAAUACCAAUCUGCCAAGGUUUUGUUCAGCAGCAAUGCUAAGAAUAUCUUGCAAGGUUUAUUUCAAUGGCGAGCACAACAAUGUCUACAAUUUGAACUCAUUGAAGUUUUAGGUGAGAUAAUACCAAUCUACCAAGGUUUAGCUUAGCAACGGCGAUAACAAUAUCUGCCAAGGUUUAUUUCAACGGCAAGUAGAACAAUAUCUGCAAUUUGAACUUAUUGAAGUUUCAGAGAUAGCUAUUAAUAGAAAACAACAUACCCAUGCUUCCAUUCGGUACCAAUUACACGCAAACAGUUUCAAGUCAUUUCCAAAUUCAUACUUCAUAUGUUCUUUGCAACUUUACAAAAUUAAUCCUUCUAAUGCCCCCCUCCUUCAAUGCAGGCAAAAUCUUUUGACCAACCAAACUAAAUGAGUUUUUCUAUUUCACCAAUAUCCUUUCAUUUUGUUCCACAUAUUUUAGUUACCUCUUUAUAAGAUAGCUGCAACCUAUUGCCUGUCCACUUCAAUCACUGUCAAUCAACCGUUCAAUGCAGUUUCUUCCUACACAAUGCAGACAGGAUUGCUAAUAUAUUCCAUUGGUUACCUUGCACUUUCAAGCCUCAGCUCUCAUGCAUUGCAACAAAAAAACAACUUCAAGAUGUUUUGAAACUUCGCUGCAUUCCAGAUUUAUCACACUAAUUAUGAACAAUUGUCCUUGGGAAAUUUUCUUAAUGCGCCCUCCACGAUAAUUCUUUCCUGCAUUCAAUUCUUCCUGUGCAUUUUCUAAGGAUUGCAUGUCAUACACACUACAAUAAUUACAAAUUGCCUCUUAGAAUUCUAUGAAGGUUGAUGUACUUGGCAGGGAUGACAUUCCUCACCAUGAUGUGCAAAAUGCUUUAAAACUGAGCAAGGGUUGUAAUUUAAACAAAAUUGAUUGUGUUAGUUUCAUGUUGUUACUCAUCAAGAAUGCAAAUUACUUGGACAUAAGCCAUUACAUAUCUUAUGGCUUUUAGCAGCUCUCUAAAUAUUUGAUUCUUUAAGAAAUGUUUUUUAACAUGUAAGAACAGGUUGUUCUGAUACAUGAAGGUGUUGAUAAUCAUCUGGUCAUUAACAUUCAAUUUGUUUUAGAGGAGUUGUUUAAAUCUAGACUCAAUCAACUACUAUUUACAAUUAUUAAGGUUGUGACACUCACUUUUUUUUA